GGGUUUAGUUCCAAGAUUGAGCUUAUGCAGUAAGCAAGCUCCGAGAGGAUAUAAUUUAUUUGAUAAAGGUAUGAAGUAUAAUCCAUUGGCUAAGAGAUUGGUAGACUUAAACAAGGAAGGGAAGAUUAAGUAGUUCUAAAUGGAGGCCUACUAUAUACCAAACAAUUAUAAAUCUUUCUUCCAAAGUGGAGAAACCUAGAACGUUGCAUUUGAGCAUUGAUAGAGGUAGGUU
Molecule: long non-coding RNA, 232 nt
Filed under: Elaeis guineensis (African oil palm)
Lineage: Eukaryota; Viridiplantae; Streptophyta; Magnoliopsida; Arecales; Arecaceae
Description: long non-coding RNA (EGUI_LNC038452)
Source: RNAcentral